AAGAUCCUUCAACUAUUUUUAUGAAUUGGUAGCCUCUACCUCCAACUCAAAGAAUUACACUAAUUCUUUAGUGGGUACUAAAAUCCACAUGGACUGCAUUCGGGCCCGAGUGUGGCUCGGCUAAUCCUAGUGCAUCCAUGGGUAGGUUCAUAACUAAUUAUUUCUUCAAAUAAUUUCUACAAUUAGAUUUUAUCCCAGACAUCUCUUCAGUAGGC
This 215-nucleotide long non-coding RNA is filed under the name Elaeis guineensis (African oil palm). Its description in RNAcentral is "long non-coding RNA (EGUI_LNC063963)". The record is from RNAcentral. Lineage: Eukaryota; Viridiplantae; Streptophyta; Magnoliopsida; Arecales; Arecaceae.